This is a long non-coding RNA of Hypanus sabinus (Atlantic stingray), 1405 nucleotides long. RefSeq lists it as uncharacterized. NCBI's taxonomy places the organism in Eukaryota, Metazoa, Chordata, Chondrichthyes, Myliobatiformes, Dasyatidae. The transcript has 3 exons. The record is from RefSeq and is a predicted model, not a curated record.
UCUGCUUUCCCCCAGAACUCCUGAAUCCAUUAGAAAACACAAAACAGAACACAAGAGAUUCUGCAGAGGCUGGGAAUCUUGAGCAACACACACACAAAAUGCUGGAGGAGCUCAGUAAGUUAAGUAGCAUCUAUUGAGAGGAAUAAGCAGUCGAUGUUUUGGGCCGAGACGCAUCAUCAGUUUCCGACUGAAUUGCCUGGCAAAGGAAGUCUAGAAGUGGAUGAAUUCAAUGGCAUAUCAGGCUUGCCUGCAGGAGAAUGGUGGAAAUUUCCUGUCAGGGUGUGUGAAUACUACAGCAGAGGCACUUAAACAAGGAACAGUGAAUUGGAGCUGCCAACAGCGAUGAGGACAGAUGUUCCUGGCACUCGUUUGUGAUUACCAGGUGUUCACAGUAGAUACAAAGAAACACAACAGCAUCAAUGAAACACUGGGCUCAACAAACUAGCAACAUAGAAGGACAUUCGGCCCAUUGCAUCUGUGCCAGGAGAAAAAGUCACCCAGCCUAAUCUCACUUUACAACAUUAUGAUUGUAGUCCGAGAGGGCGGAGGACACAGCCUGGUCCAUCACAGGCACAGUCCUCCUCACCUUCUACAGGAGGCUCUGCUACAAGAAAGCAUCAUCCAUCAUUAAGGAUCCCCACCACCCAGGCCAUGGCCCUUCUCACUGCUACGAGCUACAGAGCCUGAAGACCCUCAGCAACAGCUGCUUCCCUACAACCAUCUGGCUCUUGAACCAAGUGGCACAACCCUAACCUGCCCCAGCAGGGAACACUACCGACCACCUCUAGCACAACUGUGGACUUGGCUCUGAUUGUGUGUUUUUGCACUAACAUUUUGCUUUUCACAGAAGUUGGGGAGCACGGACCAGUCCUCAUUAAAGGGUCAACACUGGAAUGUGCAAGCAGUUUCAAGUUCCCAGGCGUCAAUAUCUUGGAGGAUAUAUCCUGGUCUAUCCUGGGUUCAGCACGCUGAUGCAAUUACAAAGAAUUACAAAGAUACUUCAUUAGGAAUUUGCGGAGAAUUGACUUAUCACCAAAACGAUCAAAUUUCUAAUGAUAUAGCAUGGAGAGCAUUCUAACUGGUUGUAUCGCCGUCUGACAUGGAGGGGCCACUGCACAGGAUCAGAAAAAACAGUAAAAAGUUGUAAAUUCAAUCAGCUCCAACAUGGACACUAGGUUCCCCAGCAUCUUCAAAAGGUGAUACCUCAAAAAGCUGGCAUCCUUCAUUCAGGACCCCCAGGACAUGCCUUUGUUCCCUCCGCCAUCAGAUUUCUGAAUGGACAAUGAACCCAUGUAUGCUUGAUUGUUAUUUUCCCUUUAUUUUUGUUCCCUUUUGCAGUACUUAUUUUAAUGUAUGUGUACAUAUAGCAACGUACUGCUGCCACAAAACAACACAUUUCACAAGA